AGCAAAAACGCACAACUGGGCGGUAUGUGCAUCACAUUGAUAAUAUUCUGUUAUGGAAUAGCUGUGAAUAGAAAGUCUUGAAGCAAAUGAAAACCAUUCUGUUGCAGAUUCUCAUUCUUUGGUCUUAGAAAUUAGGAUUCCAUGAAUCCAUAUCACUACUGCUGUUCAUGUUCGAAGUACUUACAUAUUUAUUAGAAUUGAUGUGUAUGAUGUGGAAUAACAUUAGGUGUAGUAAAUGCAUAUAUGCUGACAAGUGGCCAGACUUUUUCUAAUUCUUAAAUUUAAUAAGUUGAUGUUUAUUAUGAACUUGAUCUGGAUAGUCAUUGGAAUGCUGGAGGAUCCUCUGGGUAAUAAUUUGAGUGACUUUAUUGCAUACCUGGCUAGAGAGAUUGAUGUAAACAAGCCAAAAUACCCAUCAAAUUUUGUAUGAAAUUUUAUAUUCUCCUUGCUAGGAAUGAAUGGAAAUAGUUUUUCCUUUUUCAAAUGAUCAAACAAAUGAAGAAUUUGGUGAUAUGUUAUAUCAUAUUUGUACAUGAAAUUGAUUGAUAUUUCUUCCAUAUGUCAUCAUGUCCAUCUUGCUCUAAAACAGAGCAUUUUAAAUUUUUAAUAGAGGAUUAUAGUUGUUAUGGGUCAAAAAAUCACGAUUAGGAUCUCGCCAUGUGUGACCCUACAAGCUAGAAGGAAGCGGUGCGUGGUCCUCCCUGUCACAGGACCUUUGAUGAUUAUGUUAGUAAAUAAAUAUAAAAUAAUAGAAACUUAAUAUAAAAUUAGAAAUAAACAUAAAAUAAGUGGGAUAGAAAAAUGGGCAUGUUCCUUCAAGAGUGGCAUGUAGUAGUUGUCUUUGUGGAUGGAUUGAAGCAAAGGACCUCUGAUGGUGUAGGGAUGUUUGAACUCUUAUAAGAUGACCGCUUGAGGGGCCUUUGAUGUGGAGCCUCCGAUAGUUAAGUUAGUAAUUGACUGAGUAAGAGCUCUUGAUUUUGUAUUAGGCUUAAUGUAAAUGAGAAUGUUAUUCUUACUUUAGGACUUUCUGUACCUUGUUAGACUGCUCGGAGAAGAAUUUAUAUAUGCUUAGAAGUAUGGUGAUUGAGACAGGUGGCACUCUCUAGCUAGGAGUAGGUGUAAUCAUGGAGAUGUCGAGUGGUUAGCAUGAUAUGGUUUGCUAGGUGCCUCUGGAGUGUCCGAGUGACUUGUGUUAGACUCCAUGUUUGAGAUAUCUUCUUGCAUACUUUGGUGCAUGUUUCAUUUAUUUGCAGAAUGUUUUAUGUUAAAUCAGUGGUCAACAUGCUGCCAAUCUCCUACCUUAGUGUGAGUUGCUCUUUGUGGUUGAUCACCUUUUAAGAACUGACAUGAGGUAGGUUUUGAUGAGCUUGAUGUUUGGUCUGUCAUGAUUGGCCAAUGUCCUUUAAGGAUGCAAGAAUCCAAGUCAGGAAUGCCGAUCCAAGUCUAGAGAGUUGGAGUAGGGGACCAAAUCAACUCGAGUCCUUCCCAUCCUUUGUUGUAGAACUCUCAAGUCAAACAUCAAUGUCCUGCAGGGGAGCUAGCGGUGCCACUUAUCAUCAUCUUGUGAGGCGCAUAUUAGUCCAUAUCAAUAGUUGUGAAGCUUUGAACACUUUAGAUCAUGUCAGCAGUGGUUUAUUUUCUUUUAUUUUUAAGUCAUGUGGUUAAUUAAUCAAAACCUGUGUAUCAUUGGUUUGGUUGCUCAUUAUUUGUUAUUCUUAGAGAUUGAUGCUUCAAUGGGUCUCAUGUUCGUAUAAUCUUGUCAUGUGUGCCCAUUGUCCAUGUAUCUCUGUGCAUUUCACUAUAAUAUGUGUGCCUGACUGUUGGUUGGUUCUUAGGUUGCAUUGAAAACUUUGAUUGU
Molecule: unclassified non-coding RNA, 1858 nt
Filed under: Hevea brasiliensis (rubber tree)
Lineage: Eukaryota; Viridiplantae; Streptophyta; Magnoliopsida; Malpighiales; Euphorbiaceae
Source: RNAcentral